RNAcentral lists this ribosomal RNA (1336 nucleotides) under Salmonella enterica subsp. enterica serovar Enteritidis. Its description in RNAcentral is "partial 23S ribosomal RNA". It matches the Rfam family "Bacterial large subunit ribosomal RNA", at positions 1 to 1230 of the family's 2925-position model. Lineage: Bacteria; Pseudomonadati; Pseudomonadota; Gammaproteobacteria; Enterobacterales; Enterobacteriaceae. The record is from RNAcentral.
GGGUUGUGAGGUUAAGCGACUAAGCGUACACGGUGGAUGCCCUGGCAGUCAGAGGCGAUGAAGGGCGUGCUAAUCUGCGAUAAGCGCCGGUAAGGUGAUAUGAACCGUUAUAACCGGCGAUACCCGAAUGGGGAAACCCAGUGUGAUUCGUCACACUAUCAUUAACUGAAUCCAUAGGUUAAUGAGGCGAACCGGGGGAACUGAAACAUCUAAGUACCCCGAGGAAAAGAAAUCAACCGAGAUUCCCCCAGUAGCGGCGAGCGAACGGGGAGGAGCCCAGAGCCUGAAUCAGCAUGUGUGUUAGUGGAAGCGUCUGGAAAGGCGCGCGAUACAGGGUGACAGCCCCGUACACAAAAGCGCAUGUGCUGUGAGCUCGAUGAGUAGGGCGGGACACGUGGUAUCCUGUCUGAAUAUGGGGGGACCAUCCUCCAAGGCUAAAUACUCCUGACUGACCGAUAGUGAACCAGUACCGUGAGGGAAAGGCGAAAAGAACCCCGGCGAGGGGAGUGAAAAAGAACCUGAAACCGUGUACGUACAAGCAGUGGGAGCCCCACCACCAAAGCAUUUGCUGUACCGCGUUGACGGAGCGAAGCGACGUCAAACCGAUAAAACAGCAGUGUAAAGUGAGCCGCAGGGCGCUUUGCGCGACAGCGCAAAGGCAGGCGGUUUCGCGUAGCGAAAGCGAAUGCUUUGGGGUGGGGUGACUGCGUACCUUUUGUAUAAUGGGUCAGCGACUUAUAUUCUGUAGCAAGGUUAACCGAAUAGGGGAGCCGGAGGGAAACCGAGUCUUAAUUGGGCGUUAAGUUGCAGGGUAUAGACCCGAAACCCGGUGAUCUAGCCAUGGGCAGGUUGAAGGUUGGGUAACACUAACUGGAGGACCGAACCGACUAAUGUUGAAAAAUUAGCGGAUGACCUGUGGCUGGGGGUGAAAGGCCAAUCAAACCGGGAGAUAGCUGGUUCUCCCCGAAAGCUAUUUAGGUAGCGCCUCGUGAAUUCAUCUCCGGGGGUAGAGCACUGUUUCGGCUAGGGGGCCAUCCCGGCUUACCAACCCGAUGCAAACUGCGAAUACCGGAGAAUGUUAUCACGGGAGACACACGGCGGGUGCUAACGUCCGUCGUGAAGAGGGAAACAACCCAGACCGCCAGCUAAGGUCCCAAAGUCAUGGUUAAGUGGGAAACGAUGUGGGAAGGCCCAGACAGCCAGGAUGUUGGCUUAGAAGCAGCCAUCAUUUAAAGAAAGCGUAAUAGCUCACUGGUCGAGUCGGCCUGCGCGGAAGAUGUAACGGGGCUAAACCAUGCACCGAAGCUGCGGCAGCGACACUGUGUGUUGUUGGGUA